AGUGAACGCUGGCGGUAGGCCUAACACAUGCAAGUCGAACGGCAACACAGUAAGAGCUUGCUCUUACGGGUGGCGAGUGGCGGACGGGUGAGGAAUACAUCGGAAUCUACUUUUUCGUGGGGGGUAACGUAGGGAAACUUACGCUAAUACCGCAUACGACCUACGGGUGAAAGCAGGGGAUCUUCGGACCUUGCGCGAUUGAAUGAGCCGAUGUCGGAUUAGCUAGUUGGCGGGGUAAAGGCCCACCAAGGCGACGAUCCGUAGCUGGUCCGAGAGGAUGAUGAGGCACACUGGAACUGAGAGACGGUACAGACUCCGACGGGAGGCAGAAGUGGGGAAGAUUGGACAAUGGGCGCAAGCCUGAUCCAGCCAUACCGCGUGGGUGAAGAAGGCCUUCGGGUGGUAAAGCCCUUUUGGUGGGAAAGAAAAGCAGCAGGUUAAUACCCCGCUGUGCUGACGGUACCCAAAGAAUAAGCACCGGCUAACUUCGUG
This 492-nucleotide ribosomal RNA is filed under the name uncultured bacterium. RNAcentral's name for it is "partial 16S ribosomal RNA". It matches the Rfam family "Bacterial small subunit ribosomal RNA", at positions 29 to 507 of the family's 1533-position model. The record is from RNAcentral.